Molecule: ribosomal RNA, 59 nt
Filed under: Plestiodon brevirostris (shortnose skink)
Lineage: Eukaryota; Metazoa; Chordata; Lepidosauria; Squamata; Scincidae
Description: partial 16S ribosomal RNA
Source: RNAcentral
CCAAUAACUGAACAAAGCUAAAGUUAAACAGCUACCACCACGACCAAAGAUCGUGGUCU